GGUUGAUCCUGCCAGUAGUCAUAUGCUUGUCUCAAAGAUUAAGCCAUGCAUGUCUAAGUAUAAGCACUUUAUACUGUGAAACUGCGAAUGGCUCAUUAAAUCAGUUAUAGUUUAUUUGAUAAUACCUUACUACUUGGAUAACCGUGGUAAUUCUAGAGCUAAUACAUGCUUAAAAUCCCGACUUCUGGAAGGGAUGUAUUUAUUAGAUAAAAAACCAAUCGAGGCAACUCGUUAUUAGGUGAAUCAUGAUAACUAUUCGAAUCGUAUGACUUUACGUCGACGAUGGUUCAUU
This 292-nucleotide ribosomal RNA is filed under the name uncultured eukaryote. RNAcentral describes it as "partial 18S ribosomal RNA". It matches the Rfam family "Eukaryotic small subunit ribosomal RNA", at positions 6 to 299 of the family's 1831-position model. The record is from RNAcentral.